UUCCAAAGUGUUGAGUGCAGUUCAGGGUAGCUUCCCUGUUCUGUUAACUGAACUGCGGGACAUUGCAACAGGCUAAGAACUAUGAUUGGAUAGAAAUUAUCAGUCUAUUCAUGUAUCUCCCAGCCUACAAAA
Small nucleolar RNA from Mustela putorius furo (domestic ferret), 132 nucleotides. Lineage: Eukaryota; Metazoa; Chordata; Mammalia; Carnivora; Mustelidae. The record is from Ensembl.